RNAcentral lists this ribosomal RNA (465 nucleotides) under uncultured bacterium. RNAcentral's name for it is "partial 16S ribosomal RNA". It matches the Rfam family "Bacterial small subunit ribosomal RNA", at positions 28 to 507 of the family's 1533-position model. The record is from RNAcentral.
GACGAACGCUGGCGGCGUGCUUAACACAUGCAAGUCGAACGGAAAGGCCCUGCUUGCAGGGUACUCGAGUGGCGAACGGGUGAGUAACACGUGGGUGAUCUGCCCUACACUUCGGGAUAAGCCUGGGAAACUGGGUCUAAUACCGGAUAGGAGCCAUUUUUAGUGUGAUGGUUGGAAAGUUUUUUCGGUGUAGGAUGAGCUCGCGGCCUAUCAGCUUGUUGGUGGGGUAAUGGCCUACCAAGGCGGCGACGGGUAGCCGGCCUGAGAGGGUGGACGGCCACAUUGGGACUGAGAGACGGCCCAGACGCCGACGGGAGGCAGCAGUGGGGAAUAUUGCACAAUGGGCGAAAGCCUGAUGCAGCGACGCCGCGUGGGGGAUGACGGCCUUCGGGUUGUAAACUCCUUUCGCUAGGGACGAAGCUUUUUGUGACGGUACCUAGAUAAGAAGCACCGGCUAACUACGUG